RNAcentral lists this ribosomal RNA (795 nucleotides) under Triticum aestivum (bread wheat). RNAcentral's name for it is "partial small subunit ribosomal RNA". The record is from RNAcentral. Lineage: Eukaryota; Viridiplantae; Streptophyta; Magnoliopsida; Poales; Poaceae.
AUGUCUUGUCACUACCUCAAGCCGAAAGACCCCAAUUUUCACACUGUGCAUCAAAGGAUCCUUGGUGAUAAACGAGCAUAUCCACACAUGAAAGACUGCAUUGGUGCAAUAGAUGGGGCUCACAUUAGAGCUUCGAUUCCAGAAGACAAGCAAAUCAGAUAUAUUGGAAGGACAGGCGCAGUCACUGAGAAUGUGAUGGCAAUAUGUGACUUUGAUAUGCAUUUCACUUAUGCUUCAAUUGGACAACCUGGUUCUAUGCAUGACACAAGUGUGCUAUUUCAUGCAAUGCAUGCGGACAAGGCCACCUUCCCCCAUCCAAAGGACAAGUACUACCUUGUGGAUGCUGGCUAUCCUAAUAGAAAGGGAUAUCUCACACCAUACAAAGGUGAACGAUAUCAUGUGUCUGACUUUCAUAGAGUUGUUCCACCCAAUACUCCUAAAGAAAAGUUCAAUAGGCUCCACUCGUCCAAACACAAUUGCAUAGAGAGAGCCUUUGGAGUGUGGAAGAUGAAAUGUCAGAUUCUUCUAAAGAUGCCAAGCUACUCCAUCGAAAUACAAAAGAUGAUUGUUGCCGCUACUAUGACUUUGCACAACUAUGUUCGCUUCCAUGAUGAAGAAGAUAUUCACUUUGUUCGAUGUGACAGGGACCCGGACUAUGUGCCGACAAUUCCGGAACGAUACAAGAAAUUUGUUGUUCCUUCACAUGCAUCGGAUACAUCAACUAUAGCGGAAAAUGGUGAAGACAUGGAUGUGUUUAGGCAAGAACUAGCUACAUCCAUUGCUCUAAGUUGGUGA